RNAcentral lists this ribosomal RNA (450 nucleotides) under uncultured bacterium. RNAcentral's name for it is "bacterial SSU rRNA". It matches the Rfam family "Bacterial small subunit ribosomal RNA", at positions 29 to 526 of the family's 1533-position model. The record is from RNAcentral.
AACGAACGCUGGCGGCAGGCUUAACACAUGCAAGUCGAACGCCCCGCAAGGGGAGUGGCAGACGGGUGAGUAACGCGUGGGAAUCUACCCAGAUCUUCGGAACAACUGAGGGAAACUUCAGCUAAUACCGGAUACGCCCUACGGGGGAAAGAUUUAUCGGUUCUGGAUGAGCCCGCGUUGGAUUAGCUAGUUGGUGAGGUAAUGGCUCACCAAGGCGACGAUCCAUAGCUGGUCUGAGAGGAUGAUCAGCCACACUGGGACUGAGACACGGCCCAGACUCCUACGGGAGGCAGCAGUGGGGAAUAUUGGACAAUGGGCGAAAGCCUGAUCCAGCCAUGCCGCGUGAGUGAUGAAGGCCUUAGGGUUGUAAAGCUCUUUCAGUAGGGAAGAUAAUGACGGUACCUACAGAAGAAGCCCCGGCUAACUUCGUGCCAGCCGCCGCCGUAAAAC